ACGCGUAUUCGAAGGACUCUCGGCAACGGAUAUCUCGGCUCUUGCAUCGAUGAAGAACGUAGCGAAAUGCGAUACUUGGUGUGAAUUGCAGAAUCCCGUGAACCAUCGAGUCUUUGAACGCAAGUUGCGCCCGAAGCCAUUAGGCUAAGGGCACGCCUG
This 159-nucleotide ribosomal RNA is filed under the name Crotalaria medicaginea var. luxurians. RNAcentral's name for it is "5.8S ribosomal RNA". It matches the Rfam family "5.8S ribosomal RNA". Rfam says of the family: 5.8S ribosomal RNA (5.8S rRNA) is a component of the large subunit of the eukaryotic ribosome. It is transcribed by RNA polymerase I as part of the 45S precursor that also contains 18S and 28S rRNA. Lineage: Eukaryota; Viridiplantae; Streptophyta; Magnoliopsida; Fabales; Fabaceae. The record is from RNAcentral.